GGCGAGGGGGCUAUCUGCAGUCGAGCGGGGUUACUUAGAAGCUUGCUUCUAAGUAACCUAGCGGCGGACGGGUGAGUAACACGUAGGCAACCUGCCCUCAAGACAGGGAUAACUACCGGAAACGGUAGCUAAUACCCGAUAUAUCCUUUUCCUGCAUGGGAGAAGGAGGAAAGACGGAGCAAUCUGUCACUUGUGGAUGGGCCUGCGGCGCAUUAGCUAGUUGGUGGGGUAAAGGCCUACCAAGGCGACGAUGCGUAGCCGACCUGAGAGGGUGAUCGGCCACACUGGGACUGAGACACGGCCCAGACUCCUACGGGAGGCAGCAGUAGGGAAUCUUCCGCAAUGGGCGAAAGCCUGACGGAGCAACGCCGCGUGAGUGAUGAAGGUUUUCGGAUCGUAAAGCUCUGUUGCCAGGGAAGAACGUCUUGUAGAGUAACUGCUACAAGAGUGACGGUACCUGAGAAGAAAGCCCCGGCUAACUACGUGCCAGCAGCCGCGGUAAUACGUAGGGGGCAAGCGUUGUCCGGAAUUAUUGGGCGUAAAGCGCGCGCAGGCGGCUCUUUAAGUCUGGUGUUUAAUCCCGAGGCUCAACUUCGGGUCGCACUGGAAACUGGGGAGCUUGAGUGCAGAAGAGGAGAGUGGAAUUCCACGUGUAGCGGUGAAAUGCGUAGAGAUGUGGAGGAACACCAGUGGCGAAGGCGACUCUCUGGGCUGUAACUGACGCUGAGGCGCGAAAGCGUGGGGAGCNAACAGGAUUAGAUACCCUGGUAGUCCACGCCGUANACGAUGAAUGCUANGUGUUAGGGGUUUCGAUACCCUUGGUGCCCCAAGUUACACAUUAAGCAU
Molecule: ribosomal RNA, 846 nt
Filed under: Paenibacillus polymyxa
Lineage: Bacteria; Bacillati; Bacillota; Bacilli; Caryophanales; Paenibacillaceae
Description: bacterial SSU rRNA
Rfam family: Bacterial small subunit ribosomal RNA
Source: RNAcentral